CUUGGCUAUUCAUAUAAUCAUGUGUUGAAAUCGAAGUUUAUUGUAUUAUGUUGUCUAAAGGUUUGAAAUAAAUUUCGUUGGUUUAAAAUUAUAUAUGAAUAAAUCAUAACUACAUUUUAGGGGAAGGCUGUAUUGUAAUGGUUUUACUGAAUACUGUGUGGAGAGGUGGACGUAGUAUGAUGCUUGAAAAUUGACUUGUGAUACUAUUUUACUAUAAUAUAAAAAAAAG
RNAcentral lists this unclassified non-coding RNA (229 nucleotides) under Hevea brasiliensis (rubber tree). Lineage: Eukaryota; Viridiplantae; Streptophyta; Magnoliopsida; Malpighiales; Euphorbiaceae. The record is from RNAcentral.